Molecule: transfer RNA, 89 nt
Filed under: Burkholderia oklahomensis
Lineage: Bacteria; Pseudomonadati; Pseudomonadota; Betaproteobacteria; Burkholderiales; Burkholderiaceae
Description: tRNA-???(tc)
Source: RNAcentral
GCCGUUCGUCGUGCGGCCGACGCUCGCGUCGUUCGCGACGCUCGAUUCGAGGCUCGUCGAAGCGGCGUCGAGCCUCGGCGCGAACGGCU